GACGAACGUUGGCGGCGUGCUUAACACAUGCAAGUCGAACGGAAAGGCCCUGCUUUUGUGGGGUGCUCGAGUGGCGAACGGGUGAGUAACACGUGAGUAACCUGCCCUUGACUUUGGGAUAACUUCAGGAAACUGGGGCUAAUACCGGAUAGGAGCUCCUGCUGCAUGGUGGGGGUUGGAAAGUUUCGGCGGUUGGGGAUGGACUCGCGGCUUAUCAGCUUGCUGGUGGGGUAGUGGCUUACCAAGGCUUUGACGGGUAGCCGGCCUGAGAGGGUGACCGGCCACAUUGGGACUGAGAUACGGCCCAGACUCCUACGGGAGGCAGCAGUGGGGAAUAUUGCACAAUGGGCGGAAGCCUGAUGCAGCAACGCCGCGUGCGGGAUGACGGCCUUCGGGUUGUAAACCGCUUUCGCCUGUGACGAAGCGUGAGUGACGGUAAUGGGUAAAGAAGCACCGGCUAACUACGUGCCAGCAGCCGCGGUGAUACGUAGGGUGCGAGCGUUGUCCGGAUUUAUUGGGCGUAAAGGGCUCGUAGGUGGUUGAUCGCGUCGGAAGUGUAAUCUUGGGGCUUAACCCUGAGCGUGCUUUCGAUACGGGUUGACUUGAGGAAGGUAGGGGAGAAUGGAAUUCCUGGUGGAGCGGUGGAAUGCGCAGAUAUCAGGAGGAACACCAGUGGCGAAGGCGGUUCUCUGGGCCUUUCCUGACGCUGAGGAGCGAAAGCGUGGGGAGCGAACAGGCUUAGAUACCCUGGUAGUCCACGCUGUAAACGGUGGGUACUAGGUGUGGGGUCCAUUCCACGGGUUCCGUGCCGUAGCUAACGCUUUAAGUACCCCGCCUGGGGAGUACGGCCGCAAGGCUAAAACUCAAAGGAAUUGACGGGGCCCCGCACAAGCGGCGGAGCAUGCGGAUUAAUUCGAUGCAACGCGUAGAACCUUACCUGGGUUUGACAUGGAUCGGGAGUGCUCAGAGAUGGGUGUGCCUCUUUUGGGGUCGGUUCACAGGUGGUGCAUGGCUGUCGUCAGCUCGUGUCGUGAGAUGUUGGGUUAAGUCCCGCAACGAGCGCAACCCUUGUUCACUGUUGCCAGCACGUUAUGGUGGGGACUCAGUGGAGACCGCCGGGGUCAACUCGGAGGAAGGUGGGGAUGACGUCAAGUCAUCAUGCCCCUUAUGUCCAGGGCUUCACGCAUGCUACAAUGGCUGGUACAGAGAGUGGCGAGCCUGUGAGGGUGAGCGAAUCUCGGAAAGCCGGUCUCAGUUCGGAUUGGGGUCUGCAACUCGACCUCAUGAAGUCGGAGUCGCUAGUAAUCGCAGAUCAGCAACGCUGCGGUGAAUACGUUCCCGGG
RNAcentral lists this ribosomal RNA (1343 nucleotides) under uncultured bacterium. Its description in RNAcentral is "16S ribosomal RNA". It matches the Rfam family "Bacterial small subunit ribosomal RNA", at positions 28 to 1378 of the family's 1533-position model. The record is from RNAcentral.